AUUGAACGCUGGCGGCAUGCCUUACACAUGCAAGUCGAACGGUAACGGGCCUUCGGGUGCCGACGAGUGGCGAACGGGUGAGUAAUACAUCGGAACGUGCCCGAUCGUGGGGGAUAACGAGGCGAAAGCUUUGCUAAUACCGCAUACGAUCUACGGAUGAAAGCAGGGGACCGCAAGGCCUUGCGCGGACGGAGCGGCCGAUGGCAGAUUAGGUAGUUGGUGGGAUAAAAGCUUACCAAGCCGACGAUCUGUAGCUGGUCUGAGAGGAUGAUCAGCCACACGGGGACUGAGACACGGCCCAGACUCCUACGGGGGGCAGCAGUGGGGAAUUUUGGACAAUGGGCGCAAGCCUGCUCCAGCCAUGCCGGGUGCAGGAUGAAGGCCUGCGGGUUGUAAACUGCUUUUGUACGGAACAAAAAGCUUUUUUUUAAUACAGGGGGGUCAGGACGGUACCGAAAGAAUAAACCCCGGCUAACUACGU
This 481-nucleotide ribosomal RNA is filed under the name uncultured bacterium. RNAcentral's name for it is "partial 16S ribosomal RNA". It matches the Rfam family "Bacterial small subunit ribosomal RNA", at positions 30 to 506 of the family's 1533-position model. The record is from RNAcentral.